RNAcentral lists this ribosomal RNA (701 nucleotides) under Meloidogyne ethiopica. RNAcentral describes it as "SSU rRNA". It matches the Rfam family "Eukaryotic small subunit ribosomal RNA", at positions 477 to 1188 of the family's 1831-position model. Lineage: Eukaryota; Metazoa; Nematoda; Chromadorea; Rhabditida; Meloidogynidae. The record is from RNAcentral.
UACGAGACUGUUCUCUUUGAGGCCGGUCAUCGGAAUGGGUACAAUUUAAACCCUUUAACGAGUAUCAAGCAGAGGGCAAGUCUGGUGCCAGCAGCCGCGGUAAUUCCAGCUCUGCUAAUACAUAGAAUUAUUGCUGCGGUUAAAAAGCUCGUAGUUGGAUUCGUAUCGGUACCCUGGAACCCUUCGGGUGUUUCUGGGUGUUAUCGAUUUAUCGUAAUGUUCGGUUUUGAGUCCUUAACAGGAUUCUUAACAGGCAUUGCAAGUUUACUUUGAACAAAUCAGAGUGCUUCAAACAGGCGUUUUCGCUUGAAUGAUCGUGCAUGGAAUAAUAGAAAAUGAUUUCGGUUCAGUUUUAUUGGUUUUACGGACUGAGAUAAUGGUUAACAGAGACAAACGGGGGCAUUUGUAUGGCCCCGUGAGAGGUGAAAUUCUUGGACCGUGGCCAGACAAACUACAGCGAAAGCAUUUGCCAAGAAUGUUUUUAUUAAUCAAGAACGAAAGUCAGAGGUUCGAAGGCGAUCAGAUACCGCCCUAGUUCUGACCGUAAACGAUGCCAACUAGCGAUCCGCCGAUGGAAAUUAUAUUGCCUUGGUGGGGAGCUUCCCGGAAACGAAAGUCUUCCGGUUCCGGGGGAAGUAUGGUUGCAAAGCUGAAACUUAAAGGAAUUGACGGAAGGGCACCACCAGGAGUGGAGCCUGCGG